RNAcentral lists this unclassified non-coding RNA (360 nucleotides) under Melitaea cinxia (Glanville fritillary). Its description in RNAcentral is "misc RNA ENSMCXG00005000102.1". Lineage: Eukaryota; Metazoa; Arthropoda; Insecta; Lepidoptera; Nymphalidae. The record is from RNAcentral.
AGGCGGCAUAUAGUGUGAACUACGGUGAUAUUUGCGGCGGAGUGUUGUUACAUAAGAAAUGGGUUCUGACUGCUGCGCAUUGUGGAAUAGAUAGCACCUAUAUUCGAAUCGGAACUCAACAUCGUCUCAGGGGUCUGAAAAUCGGAAUAAAGGAUCAUAUCAUACACCCUUUGUAUCAAAAAGAACAUUCUUUUGAUUAUGAUGUUAUGUUACUGGAAUUAUUUAAGUAUUUAAGAUUUGGAGAAACGGUGAAUAAUAUUGCUAUCAGUAGCGGAGAAUAUGAAGAAGAUAUCACUAUCGCUGGUUGGGGAUAUGCUGUGGAGAAGGGUGACUAUCAAGAUAUCUUGCAAGAGGUAAAAG